Salmo salar (Atlantic salmon) is the source of this 54-nucleotide non-coding RNA. The record is from Rfam. NCBI's taxonomy places the organism in Eukaryota, Metazoa, Chordata, Actinopteri, Salmoniformes, Salmonidae.
UGCAUGCACUACUGUGAGUCGCUUUGGAUAAAAGUGUCUGCAUAAUGGCAUAUA